UCUUGUGCCUUGAGAGUGACAUCUUUC
This 27-nucleotide non-coding RNA is filed under the name Homo sapiens (human). Lineage: Eukaryota; Metazoa; Chordata; Mammalia; Primates; Hominidae. The record is from RNAcentral.